GGGAAGAAACAAGAACUAAAACAAUACCCGGUAACUAAUCCUACAAAACUACACAGAAAAGUUAUGGGUUUUGUCUCAGGAGCACACGAAAAAGAAAAUAAUAAUAAGAGAAAUGAGAUUAUUUGCAGCAGAUUAUAGAGAGAGAGAGAGG
Molecule: long non-coding RNA, 151 nt
Organism: Juglans microcarpa x Juglans regia
Lineage: Eukaryota; Viridiplantae; Streptophyta; Magnoliopsida; Fagales; Juglandaceae
Exons: 3
Source: RefSeq, a predicted model, not a curated record